RNAcentral lists this long non-coding RNA (251 nucleotides) under Mytilus galloprovincialis (Mediterranean mussel). The record is from RNAcentral. Lineage: Eukaryota; Metazoa; Mollusca; Bivalvia; Mytilida; Mytilidae.
AAAAUCAUUGUUUGGUGAACAUAAUCAUUUUAAAACUAAUCAAUUGAAUGUCAUUGUUUGUAUUGGGAUACAGAGUUAUCUGUCUUGAUAUUUGAUAAUUCUUAAAAUCCAUGUAAAAACUAUUUGCUUGCAAACAGACCUAUACAUUGACUGUGAAUAAAAGAAAUAUAUUACCACACACCUGUAGAACUCUUAAAAAGGCACAUUUUGUGAUAUGUUAAAAUCAUGUUUAGGCUUAAGGUGGCAGAAAC